AAAGCGGAGGAAAAGAAACCAACAGGGAUUGCCCCAGUAACGGCGAGUGAAGCGGCAAAAGCUCAAAUUUGAAAUCCUGCGGGAAUUGUAAUUUGAAGGUUUCGUGGUCUGAGUCGGCCGCGCCCAAGUCCAUUGGAACAUGGCGCCUGGGAGGGUGAGAGCCCCGUAUGGCGCACGCCGACUCUUUGCACCGCGGCUCCGACGAGUCGAGUUGUUUGGGAAUGCAGCUCUAAGUGGGUGGUAAAUUCCAUCUAAAGCUAAAUAUUGGCGAGAGACCGAUAGCGAACAAGUACAGUGAUGGAAAGAUGAAAAGCACUUUGAAAAGAGAGUGAAACAGCACGUGAAAUUGUUGAAAGGGAAGGGCUUGCAAGCAGACACGGUUUUACCGGGCCAGCGUCGAAAAGGGGGGAGGAACAAGAACUCGAGAAUGUGGCGCGCACCUUCGGGCGCGCGUGUUAUAGCUCGUGUUGACGCCUCCAUCCCUUUUCGAGGCCUGCGAUUCUAGGACGCUGGCGUAAUGGUUGCAAGCCGCCCGUCUUG
RNAcentral lists this ribosomal RNA (540 nucleotides) under Clavispora lusitaniae. Its description in RNAcentral is "partial large subunit ribosomal RNA". It matches the Rfam family "Eukaryotic large subunit ribosomal RNA", at positions 47 to 656 of the family's 3401-position model. The record is from RNAcentral. Lineage: Eukaryota; Fungi; Ascomycota; Pichiomycetes; Serinales; Metschnikowiaceae.